Molecule: ribosomal RNA, 253 nt
Filed under: uncultured bacterium
Lineage: Bacteria
Description: partial 16S ribosomal RNA
Rfam family: Bacterial small subunit ribosomal RNA
Source: RNAcentral
UACGUAGGGUGCAAGCGUUGCCCGGAAUUAUUGGGCGUAAAGAGCUCGUAGGCGGUCUGUUGCGUCGGCUGUGAAAACCCGGGGCUCAACUCCGGGCCUGCAGCCGAUACGGGCAGACUAGAGUUCGGCAGGGGAGACUGGAAUUCCUGGUGUAGCGGUGAAAUGCGCAGAUAUCAGGAGGAACACCGGUGGCGAAGGCGGGUCUCUGGGCCGAUACUGACGCUGAGGAGCGAAAGCGUGGGGAGCGAACAGG